CGUUCCCACCCCUCUCCCCACUUCUUGUGUGCACUGCAGGCUUCUUAACAUGAGCUUUGUGUUUGAAAAACUUGCUCUCAAUGUCACAGGGAGUAAUGUCCUGCCUCCUCAUUGCUGGGCUCGCUCCUGCAAAGGGUGACAUGAGCACAAUGGCUCCCUGCAGGCUGGCCCGAGUGCAGACUGGCCACAUGCUACUGUGUUCUGGGCGGGAGGCAGGGCACAUGACCAUCAGACCUGGACCUGUCCCACUGGUGGGGCCUCGCGCCCAUCUGCAUUAUGCAGCCUGGGCCUCCCGCCAGCUAUGUCACAGGAUGAGGAGGUGUCUCCCACUCCCCAACGGCUGUCAUUUCAUAAACCCAUGGGGUCCCCCUCGAUAGCACCUCCAGCUUCCCAGAGCAGUUUUCAGCAUUUUGAAAACAAAAUGGUUAGUGUUGAUGCUCGACUGGUUCUCUUGGAGAUCACAGAAGGAAUCUUUAAAGCCAUGGCUCCAAGGUGCAGGCAGGAGAAGGACAAAGAUGCGCAUUUCCGAGCAGGCAGCCUGUGUUCCAGGGGUACCUCAAUGCUGGAUGGCUCCUCCUGCAGCAGCUCCAUCUAACCGAUGGCCUGGCUAGGACAACUGCCGUAGUUUAGAACAAAGGUUGAAUAAGGCCAGUCUGAUCAGGGACAGCUGCAGGACAACUAGUAUAGCAAGGCACGAACCAUCACGCCUCUCCUCCUCAGUGUCACCCUUUACAGCAGGCAGGACUGGACGGUGGCAGGGACGGAGUGAGAGAUGGCUCUCUGACGCACUGGCAACAUGAAACUGAGGACCCCAGCAUGCAACUGCUGGGAGCUCACACUUCACAGGACCCCCGCCUGCCUUCCCCCGUUCCUGCAGCCUCCAUCCCCCUCAUGGCGUCUGUGCACGAACAUGCUUCAAUCAGUGGGGCUCACACUCUGCAGAUCCAG
Molecule: long non-coding RNA, 948 nt
Filed under: Homo sapiens (human)
Lineage: Eukaryota; Metazoa; Chordata; Mammalia; Primates; Hominidae
Description: HSALNT0169567
Source: RNAcentral